This 355-nucleotide ribosomal RNA is filed under the name uncultured eukaryote. Its description in RNAcentral is "SSU rRNA". It matches the Rfam family "Eukaryotic small subunit ribosomal RNA", at positions 594 to 945 of the family's 1831-position model. The record is from RNAcentral.
GUAGCGUAUAUUAAAAUUGUUGCAGUUAAAAAGCUCGUAGUUGGAUUUCUGGCUCGUUGUCCUAGCCCGCUCGCUUCGGUGGGUGAGUGCUGGUACAAUCUGCCAUCCUUCCAGAGAGCCAUGAGUACCCUUCAUUGGGCCGCUCGUGUGCGAUCUGGAUCAUUUACUUUGAAAAAAUUAGAGUGUUUAAAGCAGGCUUACGCCUUGAAUACAUUAGCAUGGAAUAAUAACAUAGGACUUCGGUUCUAUUUUGUUGGUUUCUAGGACCUUAGUAAUGAUUGAUAGGGAUAGUUGGGGGUGCUAGUAUUCAGCGGCCAGAGGUGAAAUUCUUGGAUUCGCUGAAGACUAACUACUG